Molecule: ribosomal RNA, 432 nt
Filed under: uncultured prokaryote
Description: bacterial SSU rRNA
Rfam family: Bacterial small subunit ribosomal RNA
Source: RNAcentral
CGGGGGGCAGCAGUGGGGAAUAUUGGACAAUGGGCGAAAGCCUGAUCCAGCAAUGCCGCGUGAGUGAUGAAGGCCUUAGGGUUGUAAAGCUCUUUUAGUAGAGAAGAUAAUGACGGUAUCUACAGAAAAAGCCCCGGCUAACUCCGUGCCAGCAGCCGCGGUAAUACGGAGGGGGCUAGCGUUGUUCGGAAUUACUGGGCGUAAAGAGCGCGUAGGCGGUCUUUCAAGUUGGAAGUGAAAGCCCAAGGCUUAACCUUGGAACUGCUUUCAAAACUGAAAGACUAGAGGGUGUUAGAGGAUGGUGGAAUUCCUAGUGUAGAGGUGAAAUUCUUAGAUAUUAGGAGGAACACCGGUGGCGAAGGCGGCCAUCUGGGACACAACUGACGCUGAGGCGCGAAAGCGUGGGGAGCAAACAGGAUUAGAUACCCGAGU